This is a long non-coding RNA of Prionailurus viverrinus (fishing cat), 1529 nucleotides long. RefSeq lists it as uncharacterized. Lineage: Eukaryota; Metazoa; Chordata; Mammalia; Carnivora; Felidae. The transcript is spliced from 3 exons. The record is from RefSeq and is a predicted model, not a curated record.
UUCAACAAAGCCAGGCACCAAGUGGCCUCCGUGAACCCCGACAUGUGAUCGAUGGGGUGACGCAAAGCCAUGGAUGGCUGCCACCGCCAGGCACGGUGAGCAGGUGGCCAGGAGAAGACACGGGGACGGCUGACAGCCAGGCGCUCACUCUGACGGGAAAGGUGACACAGACCAUCCACCUCUGUUCGCAUUACCUACCAUGAUGGCAUGCUGUCGACUUCAUCCGUUGAACAAGGCAGGAGCGGGAGGAGGGUGGAUGGCUAUCUGGGAAGAGAAAUCCUGACGCGACGAGACGAUUAACUCCGAGUUGCUGUGGAGUUUGCUGUGGAGACCUUCCCUGCCGGGCACCCCGGAGAUGCAAAAACCCAGACAACACCCAACUCAAAAUCGGAAGGAAAAUGACGAUGACGUGUGGUCGGUGAACAGCGGCACCGAGAUUCAGUCCUGGCUCCCGGGACAAGCGCCUGACUUCUGUGACUGUGGUCGCCCAUCUCCAAUGCAGGGGCAAAACUUCCCCUCUGCUAGAGCCGCUUUGCGUGGCUUCUGGCACGGGGCCACUAAACUGUAAGUCCUGAAGCCACAAACGGCACCACAUUUGUCCAAGAAUCCCUCAGAUUUACCACAACACACAGAAAGUCGGGGGCACUGGUCAGCGUGCCAGUGCGGAAAGGUGGUUAGUGCUGCGGACAGCGGGCCGAGGAAGAAACGCAAAACGCCGUUCUUAUUUUUGUCUUGGCAAAGCCACGGACGAUCCUGCAGGGACGAUCCCUCAUUUGCUGUAGACAAACCCAUCCCAUUCUCAGGAGCCGGCCGCCCCCACCAUUGCACAGGCUCCGGGUCACCCAAGCCCAGUUACAGACGGCUCCGUGCAAAAUGGUAUCGGAGAAGCAUGAUCCACACAUGUAUGCACAUAGGGAAGGAUCGUGUGUGUGUGUGUGUGUUUGCACGCGUGUGCACAUGCCUCCAAACUGUCAGUGUUGUCAAAAAGCGACGUCCAGCAGAGCCCCGGUCACAGAUGGGCCCGUCGCCAGCCACAGGGAUCACAUGCCGACCACGGGGGCUGGUCACUGGCUCCGGCCCUGAGCCACAUUCGCUUUGUCAGCCCCUCCUUCCACAAAAAUAAGAUGUAAAUUUUGACUUCUAACUUGAGUGAUAUAAUGACAAACAUAUUAAACAUUAUCAGUGUAAACAUUUUCUUCAAUGUAAACGUUCAUUUCUGAACUUUUGCCCAUGGAAACAAGCGUGUUACAGAAAGCAUAUCAUCAACUGAAAACACAUAAAAACCUUAUGUACUAGAGCUUGAAACUGAACCAGCAAUGCAACUGGAAAGAGUUAAACUUCUGGACACAGACGGGACGCCGCGUAGCCCCGAGCCUCCCAGCUUGCAGCCGCGCUCAGCCCUGUCCACCUCUGCCAGGUUCCCCUCUGCUGCCACCACGCGAGCCCCACGUCCCCAUGGUACUCUCUACCCUGGGACGGCACCCCCAGGCGGAUCCUCCGGGGGGGAGGCCGUCCCCUCCUGUCCCUCU